UUCGUGGUGCAGCCUUUGCAAUGUGAACUGCAAGAACCCCGGAAACCUGCAGAAACACUUAAAUGGAAAAGCACACAAGGCGAAUUCGCCACUGAAAGAUACUCUCGCAUGGUGCAGCCUCUGCAAUGUAAACUGCAAGAAUCCCGGGAAUCUGAAGAGGCACUUGCAAGGGAAGCCACACAAGGCUAAGUGGGGCGAUGAUUCUCCGCAGAUCGUACACAAGGUGAGGUCGGAUGAGAGCCGAACACUUGACAGCCGG
RNAcentral lists this unclassified non-coding RNA (259 nucleotides) under Hevea brasiliensis (rubber tree). The record is from RNAcentral. Lineage: Eukaryota; Viridiplantae; Streptophyta; Magnoliopsida; Malpighiales; Euphorbiaceae.